Molecule: long non-coding RNA, 9535 nt
Filed under: Mytilus galloprovincialis (Mediterranean mussel)
Lineage: Eukaryota; Metazoa; Mollusca; Bivalvia; Mytilida; Mytilidae
Source: RNAcentral
GAUUCUGAUUGACUGAUGGCAGAAGGGGUAUGAAUAUAAAGUGGCAUUAAGGCCUUGCAGACAGACUUAACAAUAACAUGCUGAAGUUGCAAUAACAGUUUGACGAAGACUCACAUGUAAUCCCAUAUUGACGGUUGUAGAACUCGUACCAACAGAUUUCACUUUGGGUAUUUAAUUGUAUUGUAAUUAGUAAGGGACUUAACUUUAACACAUUUCUUUCAAAAUCACCCUUAACUAUUUUUGUUAACAAGUUAUAGUGAAAUCAAGGAUCUUUUAACAGAUUUUUUUUGGACUUUUACAAUGUAAUUUGUAAUCAAAAUUUUGAAGCGUGUAUGGAAAUUAUAAGGAAAAUAAUAAUGUCACACUAACUGUCUCAUUAAAUAUAUUAUUCAACGUACAAUCAGUGCAAUAAGGAAAGAUACGAGAUGAACAUUAUCUACAUAUACCGAUAUAUUAUGUGUAAACAUGGUAAAUAAAAGCAACAGUAGUAUACCGCUGUUCAAACUCAUAAAUCCAUGGACAAAAAACAAAAUCGGGGUAACAAACUAAAACUGAGGGAACGCAUUAAAUAUAAGAGGAGAACAACGAGACAACACUACAAUGUAACACACACAGCAACGGACCAAGCAUCAGACAAAAUCCCACGUGAAUAACAAAUAUAACAUCAAAACCAAAUGCAUGAAUUUGGGAUAGACGAGGACCGUGACACAUCUUAUCGCAAUGUGAAUUUAUACUCAAAAAUAAGAGAAAACAAACGACAAUGCAUGGCCAUAUUCCUGACUUGGUACAGGACAUUUUUAAAGGAAAAAAAUGGUGAGUUGAACCUGGUUUUGUGGCAUGCCAAACCUCCCUCUUUUAUAGCCAUGUGAAAUAUAACAUUAAAAUGAAAUUCAACACCACAGGACUACAAUAUAAAUAAAUUGGAGAACACAAUUGACAAAGAAACACACGAACAACAGUCAACAAAAGGUAGAGGCAGGGGUGUCCUGCUUUCCAUUGCAUAAAGCACCCUAUAUUUUUAGAUUUUAAUCCUGUACAGUGAAUCUUAAAAUACAUAUUUGAUAAGGCCCAGCUAUUUUUACUUUUUAAUUGUGUAUGGUGAAUCUACAAAGUUAUUUUAUAAGUCCCCAAAUAUUUUUAGAUUUUAUCCGUGUACAGUGAAUCUAAAAUAUUUUUAGUUAUUUGUGAAAAACUUUUAGUGACGUACGAUUUAUUAGUUUUAAUUAACUCCCCACUUAGAUAAUAUUUGUUGAGGAGGUGUUCCAUAAUUGAAAGGCAUCAUUAUAUAUGCAGAUUUUACAUCAUUGUGUUCUGUCUCCUACUUUCAUGUUGCUAACGUGACGGAGACAAAAAUGAGUAACGUUAGCGACAUUUGGACAUGUCACAUUAGCAACAACAUCUUUAAAAGUUAAAAUGUAUGCACACAGUGAUGUUUAAUAUUAUAUGCCUGGAGUAAUAAAAUUGAACAGUCUGGUUUAGAAUUUCUAAAUAUACAGAAUGUCAUUUGCAGGUGUACUUCAUAUCAAAUGAAUACACAAGAAACCAAUUGGUAAUAGUAACAUUAGCAACAUCUACUAUCAUGACAUUACGUUUUGUUGCGAACGUCUUUUUGAUGGACGGAAUACAUUUAAGGUCCUCUUGUAACGAUAUUACAUACAACUUACCUUCUUUGCUUCCCCAUCAUGUGAGGGAACUGACUCCGAAAUUGAUUUCUGCAAAGGUUGAUAUCGUAACUCCUAUACAGGAGAGUUACAGAUCUAAAUAUAUAUUGCUCACGUGACACUGAUUUGGACGGAAACGUCGAGCAGUAACGUUCGCAAAAAAUAAAACAGCCAAUGAUAUUGAUUCCUCAAGUCCUUUGACCCCCUUACGUCAUCCAAAUUUAAUAUGAUUGCUAUUUUCAAUUAUUUAUAAAACCCGGGAUAAAAAUAACUACAAUGGGCUGUCUGAGAACCAACAAGAAAAUUGCAAUCGUGACAUACCACAAUGGACGGAAAAGACGUGACGUUAGCAACAAUAUUAUUAAAUUACCUUUUUAUGCCUUUACCAAUAAAAAUCUGCCUUAAAGUUAUGAUUAAAACACAAAAGAAGACUUUUUAUUAAAUCAUAAGUCCAUGUUAUUAGGCUCCACUUAAGAAUAAUACUUCAAAAUUCCACUCCAAAUAAGCUGGAUGUCAGUAAAGUAGGUCAUGAUGUCUAUAUUCCAUAUUCCAAAAAACACGAACACAGAGUAAUUUUUAUUUUUAUUUAUUCAGAAAGACACAUUUUAUUCAAUAACAUACUGCAUUACUUCAUUUCACAGUCUGUUUCACAGUUUCAGCAAUUCCUUUUUUGAUGGAUGCACAAAAAAACAAUACUUCCUUCUUAUUGUAAAAUCUGCCAUACAGAAUGUCAUUUGCAGGUGUACUUCAUAUCAAAUGAAUACACAAGAAACCAAUUCGUAAUAGUAACAUUAGCAACAUCUACUAUCAUGACAUUACUUGAUUCAACGUUUUGUUGCGAACGUCUUUUUGAUGGACGGAAUACAUUUAAGGUCCUCUUUUAACGAUAUUACAUACAACUUACCUUCUUUGCUUCCCCAUCAUGUGAGGGAACUGACUCCGAAUCUAUUUCUGCAAAGGUUGAUAUCAUAACUCCUAUACAGGAGAGUUACAGAUCUAAAUAUAUAUUGCUCACGUGGCACUGAUUUGAUUCCUCAAGUCCUUUGACCCCUUUAGGUCAUCCAAAUUUAAUAUGAUUGCUAUUUUCAAUUAUUUAUAAAACCCGGGAUAAAAAUAACUACGAUAGGCUUUCGCGAACCAACAAGAAAAUUGCGAUGGUGACACACCACAAUAGACGGAAAAGACGUGACCUUCACAAUGAUAUUAUUAAAAUACCUUUUUAGCCGAAAUGGUCAGUUGACCCUUUUAAGAGUUAUUGCCCUUUAUAGUCAAUUUUUAACCAUAUUUCUAAAAUUUUAGUAUUCUUUUAAAAAAAUCUUCUCCUCUGAAACUACUGGGCCAAAUUUAACCAAACUUGGCCACAACCAUCAUUUGGGUAUUUAGUUUUAAAAAUCUGUGGCGUGACCCUGCCAACCAACCAAGAUAGCUGCCAUGACUAAAAAUAGAACAUAGGGGUAAAAUGCAGUUUUUGGCUUAUAACUCAAAAACCAAAGCAUUUAGAGCAAAUCUGGCAUGGGGUAAAAUUGUUAAUUAGGUCAAGAUCUAUCUGCUCUGAAAUUUUCAGAUGAAUCGAACCACCCAUUGUUGGAUUGCUGCCCCUAAAUUGGUAAUUUUAAGGAAGUUUUACUGUUUUUGGCUAUUAUCUUGAAUAUUAUUAUAGAUAGAGAUAAACUGUAAACAGCAAUAAUGUUCAGCAGCGUAAGAUUUACAAAUAAGUCAAAUGACCGAAAUGGUCAGUUAACCCCUUUAAGAGUUAUUGCCCUUUAUAGUCAAUUUUUAACCAUUUUUCGUAAAUCUUAGUUAUCUUUUGCAAAAAUCUUCUCCUCUGAAACUACUGGGCCAAAUUAAUCCAAACUUGGCCACAAUCAUCUUUGGAGUAUAUAGUUUAAAAAAUAUGUGGCGUGACCCUGCCAACCAACCAAGAUGGCCGCCAUGGCUAAAAAUAGAACAUAGGGGUAAAAUGUAGAUUUUGGCAUAUAACUCUAAAACCAAAGUAUUUAGAGCAAAUCUGACAUGGGGGUAAAAUAAUCUAUUAGGUCAAAAUCUAUCUGCCCUGAAAUUUUCAGACAAAUCGGACAAUCCGUUGUUGGGUUGCUGACCCUGAAUUGGUAAUUUUAAGGAAAUUUUGCAGUUUUUGCUUAUUAUCUUGAAUAUCAUUAUAGAUAGAGAAAAACUGUAAACAGCAAUAAUGUUCAGCAAAGUAAGAUCUACACAUAAGUCAACAUGAUCGGAAUUGUCAGUUGACCCAUUAAGGAGUUAUUGCCCUUUAUAGUCAAUUUUUAACCAUAUUUCUAAAAUUUAAGUAUUCUUUUAAAAAAAUCUUCUCCUCUGAAACUACUGGGCCAAAUUUAACCAAACUUGGCCACAACCAUCAUUCAGGUUAAAUUGUAGAUUUAUCAUUAUAGAUAGAGAAAAACUGUAAACAGCAAUAAUGUUCAGCAAAGUAAGAUCUACAAAUAAGUCAACAUGACCAAAAUUGUCAGUGUAUUUCUUAAGGAGUUAUUGCCCUUUAUAGUCAUUUUUUAACAAUUUCAAUAAAUUUUUGUAUAUUUUUAGAAUAUAUUUUCCACUGUAAUUACUGGGCCAAGUUCAUCAUAGAUAGAGAUAAUUGUAGCAAGAAGAAUGUCCAGUAAAGUAAGAUCUACAAACACAUCAUGAUCACCAAAACACAAUAUUGUCAUGAAUUUAUCUGUUUCCAUUGUUUAAUAUGCACAUAGACCAAGGUGAGCGUCACAGGCUCUUGAGAGCCUUUAGUUUAGCCUUCACCAAUAAAAAUCUGCCUUAAAGUUAUGAUUAAAACACAAAAGAAGACUUUUUAUUAAAACAUAAGUCCAUGUUAUUAGGCUCUACUUAUGAAUAAUACUUAAAAAUUCCACUCCAAAUAAGCUAGAUGUCAGUCAAGAAGGCCAUGAUGUCUAUUCCAUGUCCAAUAUUUUGAAAUUGAAAACCCUAUAAUUCUAACAAAAAAACACAAACACAGAGUAAUUUUUAUUUUUAUUUACUCAGAAAGACCUAUUUUAUUCAAUAACAUAAUGCAUUACUUCAUUACACAGUCUGUUUCACAGUUUCAGCAAUUCCUUUUUUGAUUGAUACAAAAAAACAAUACUUCCUUCUUAUUGUAAAAUCUGCCAUGAAUAACGCAUAGCUGAGAGGGUGAUAGAGCAGAUUGUUACCCCGAGAAAACAUUGUCAAAUGAGGCGAAGCCAAGGUUGAUAAUGUUUUUCGAGGUGUACAAAUCUGCUCUAUAACCCUCUCAGCUAUGUGUUAUUUAAUUAAUGAGUCCCCUACCGACGAAGACGAAGGGGACUUUAGGUUUGCACUCUGUCCGUCCGUCCAUCUGUCUGUCUGUCUGUCCUUCUGUCAGUCCGGCAAAUCAGUUUUCCACACUUUUUUUCUUCAUACUUAAACAUGUUAAAGAUAUUGAUUUGAUAUUUGGUAUAUUGUUUUAUCAUGACAAGUUACAGAUCAAGUUCGAAUUUUGUUCCGGUCUGAUAAUUUUGUGCAGAGUUGUGGUCCUUGGACUUGGAAAAUUAACUCAAAUAUUCGGUUUUCCACACUUUUUUCUGUCAUUCUUGAAGAUAUUGAUUUUAUAAUUGAUACAUUGUUUUAUCAUGACAAGUAAUUACAGAUCAAAUUCAAAUUUUAUUCCGGUCUGAUAAUUUUGUGCAGAGUUAUGGUCCUUGGACUUAGAUAAUUCACUCAAAUAAUCUGUUUUCCGCACUUUUAUACGACCUCAAAAAUUGACAAACACAAGGUUUAUGACCACAAAAGGAAGGUCGUCGUCGUCCGAAGACUGUUAGUUUUCGCACUCUAACUUUAGUAUGAGUGAAAAGAAAUCUAUGAAAUUUAAACACAAGGUUUAUGACCACAAAAGGACGGUUGGGAUUGAUUUUUGAAGUUUUGGUCCCAACAGUUUAGAAAUUAGGGGCCAAAAAGGGCCCAACUAAGCAUUUUCUUGGUUUUCGCACUUUAACUUUAGUUCAAGUCAAUAGAAAACUAUGAAAUUUUGACACAAGGUUUAUGACUACAAAAGGAAGGUUGGGAUUGAUUUUGGGAGUUUUGGUUCCAACAGUUUAGGAAUUAGGGGCCAAAAAAUGGCCCAAAUAAGCAUUAUUCUUGGUUUUCGCACAAUAACAUUAGUAUAAGUAUAUAGAAAUCAAUGAAAUUUAAACACAAGGUUUAUGACCACAAAAGAAAGGUUAGGAAUAAUUUUGGAAGUUGAGGUCCCAACAGUUUUGGAAUUAGGGGCCAAAACGGGGCGUAAAGAAGCAUUUUUCUUUGUUUUCGCACCAUAACUUUAGUAUAAGUAAAUAGAAAUCUAUGAAAUUUAAACACAAGGUGUAUGACCAUAAAAGGAAGGUAAGGAUUGAUUUUGGGAGUUUUGGUCCCAACAGUUUAGGAAUAAGGGGCUCAAAGGGUCCAAAACUAAACUUUGUUUGAUUUCAUCAAAAAUUGAAUAAUUAAGGUUCUUUGAUAUGCCAAAUCUAACUGUGUAUAUAUAUUCUUAAUUUUUGGUCCCGUUUUCAAUUUGGUCUACAUUAAGGUCCAAAGGGUCCAAAAUUGUAUUCAGUUUGAUUUUUACAAAAAUUGAAUUCUUGGGCUUCUUUGAUAUGUUAAAUCUAGACAUGUACUUAGAUUUAUGAUUAUGGGCCCAGUUUUCAAGUUGGUCAAAAUCAGGAUCCAAAAUUCUUAUAUUAAAUAUUGUGCAAUAGCAAGAAAUAUUCAAUUACACAGUAUUCAGCAAUAGCAAGAAAUCUUCAAUUGCAUAGUAUUGUGCAAUAGCAAGAAAUCUUCAAUUGCACAGUAUUGUGCAAUAGCAAGAAAUCUUCAAUUGCACAGUAUUGUGCAAUAGCAAGUUUUUCAAUUGCACAGUAUUGCGCAAUAGCAAGAAAUAUCUAAUUGCACAUUAUUGCGCAAUAGCAAGAAAUUUUCAAUUGGAGUUAUCUUUCAUGGUCCAGAAUAGUAGUUGAAUCAACUUAAAUCAUUGUUUUAUACAAUAUACAAUGUAUAUUCACUUUUACUACCAACUGAUAAAUUAAAACAAUCUUUACCAUUCAGUGAUAACAAGCACUUUUUUUUACAUUUUAAUAUUUUAUGAUGUAUUUAAAUGAGUAGUAAUUAGUGCAAACUCCAUUAGAAAUUUGAAUUGAGAUCAGUUUUGGAAUAAGGGAAAGGGGGAUGUGAAAAAAAAAAUUGGGGGGGUCUAUUUUUCUCAUUUCACAUUUCAUAAAUAAAAAGAAUAUUUCUUCAAACAUUUUGUUGAGAGGAUUUAUAUUCAACAGCAUAGUGAAUUGCUCAAAGGCAAAAAAAAAUUUAAGUUCAUUAGACCACAUUCAUUCUGUGUCAGAAACCUAUGCUGUGUCAACUAUUUAAUCACAAUCCAAAUUUAGAGCUGAAUCCAGCUUGAAUGUUGUGUCCAUACUUGCCCCAACCGUUCAGGGUUCAACCUCUGCGGUCGUAUAAAGCUGCGCCCUGCGGAGCAUCUGGUUACAGCAUCUAUUUAAAAAAGAGUAACUUUGUUUGAAAGUUUAUCUAAUUUACUUGUAUACGGUGGAAUGUAAUAAAAGGACAUGGUUAGAGGAUAAUCAAUUUGGAGAAAAUACAGAUUUUAUCAAUUUCAAUAUUUAAUAGUAUUGGGUCAAUCUAGAUAUGACAUCAUGAUAACAACACUAAUUACCUGUUCAACCUCUCCUCAUUCUUUAUGUGCCUGUUCCACGUCGAGAGCUUGUAGUUCAGUGGCUAUCACUAGUUCUUGUCUGUCAUAUUUGUUUUUCGUAAAUAGUUUUGUUAUAAAUUAGGCGCAAGUUUUCUCAAUUGAAUUGUUUCAUAUUUUCAUGUUGAGGCCAUUUAUAGCUGACUUUACGGUAUGGCUUUUUAACCAGAUUUUCAAGUUAAAUCAGUUAUUGAUUUUGGGAUGUAAGGCGGCCGUGCAGGCAGGCGGCUGCCAAUUAGUGUCCAUUCAUUUACAUGAAAACAAAUUUAGAUAUAUGUUGUUUCCUGUGACUAAAUGAAGGUCAAGUUCAAUUUUCAUGAUUUUAGCUUUCUUGAUGUUAAGUUAUGUAUUUGGCAAAACUUUUAGGAAUUUUGGUUCUCAAUGCUCUUCAACUUUGUACUUUAAUUGGCUUUUUUAACUUUUUUGGAUUCGAGCGUCACUGAUGAGUCUUUUGUAGACGAAAUGCGCGUCUGGCGCAUAUACUAAAUUUAGUCCUGGUAUCUAUGAUGAGUUUAUUUAUAACCCUUUCCCAAGAAUUUAAUUUUUGAUGGUUUAAUCCAUUUCUGUACAAAACAUUUUUAAAAGACAUUGUAUCAAUGAUAAAUGACAUUUUAAGUUUUUUUCUUGUUUCUUUGGUAAAAUGUUGGUAAAUUGUUUGAAGAAUUUUCUGAACUUAAGUUGAUAGUUGUCUCAUAUGUAAUCAUAUCUCCUUAUUUUUAUAAAUAUACAAGGAUUUCAUUUUCUUUUACAGGAUAUAAUGGCAAGUUCGGAUGAGGUAAGUUUUUUUUCUUAAAAGUCAUGUGACCUAUGUCAUGUGACCUAUGUUGUCUAUAAACUGUACAGAAAGAUACAGAAGUGCAGUAUUCCUAGGGGGAGAACAGGAGAAAUCAAGAUUACUACAGUGAACAGAAUUUCAAAGGGAAAUAACUCAUUUUUUAAAGCAUUUUUAAAAGACAUUGUAUAAAGGAUAACUGACAUUUACAGUUUUUUUCUUGUUUCUUUGGUCAAAUGUUGGUAAAUUGUUUGAAGAAUUUUCUGAAUUUUAUAUAUAUAAUUUUAUGAAGUGAACUCCUCUAAUUAGAUAAUGAUCUAUUUUUAUUAAAGGAUAUAUUUUAUUACAUUUAAAGUUGUUGGCAUGGAUAGAGAAGUUGCAGAUCUAUAUUAGUUUGUGUCACUUGACAGCCUCUUGUUCUUAUUGUUGAAGGCCGUACCAUCGCCUAUAAUUGCUUACAUCCACUUCAUUUGAACUUAAGUUGAUAGUUGUCUCAUUGGUUAUCAUAUCUCCUUAUUUUUAUAAAUAUACAAUGAUUUCAUUUUCUUUUACAGGAUACAAUGGCAAGUUGGGAUGAGGUAAGUUUUUCUUCUUAAAAGUCAAUGUCAUGUGACCUAUGUCAUGUGACAUAUGUUGUCUAUAAACUGUAUAUUAAGAUACAGGCGUGCAAUAUUCUAAGGGAAAGAACAGGAGAAAUCAAAAUGACUACAGUGAAUUUCAAUAUACAAAAUUCCAGGAGACAAAAAGAAAUGUAAGACAUUGUAGGACAUUCACAACUCUUUUAAGUCGAAAAGAAUCUGACAACGCCAUGGAAAAAAAUUUAAAAACAAUCAAAAUUCAACAGUCUACUACAUGCAUUAGUCAUUUCAGGGCCUUUUAUAGCUGACUAUGCCAUAUGGGCUUUGAUCAUUGUUGAAGGCUGUACAGUGACCUAUGGUUGUUAUUUUCUGUGUCAUUUGGUCUAUUUUGUAGAAUUGUCUCAUUGGCAAUCAUACCACAUCUUCUUUUUAUAUUCAAAACAUUACAUAGAAAACUAAAGACCGAGCAACACAAACCUCAACAAAAACUUAGGCUGAUCUCAAAACUGACUGCAGAAUACAAUUAUGACAAUUGUCUACAGACUUUUCUUAAAAAAAAAACUCUGAAAUUAUAGACAACAAUUUCACUCCUUCUUGGUAAUCACUGUAUUUGGUAUAAACUGUUGAAACUGUAAAAAUGUAGCUUGUUAAAUUCAAUUAUUACAUUUAUAAUACAUUUGUAUGUUCUAGAGGAAAAUGUAAAAGCUUUGUUUUGCUUACAGAAACUUCUUACAGCUGCAAGGAGGGGAAUAUAAAAGAGGUAGAAUUAUGUAUAAAGAACGGAGCUAGUUUGGAAUGUAGAGAUCAUGAU